RNAcentral lists this small RNA (251 nucleotides) under Pseudomonas sp. 8BK. Its description in RNAcentral is "P24". It matches the Rfam family "Pseudomonas sRNA P24". From Rfam's summary of the family: P24 is conserved across several Pseudomonas species and in Azotobacter vinelandii. The record is from RNAcentral. Lineage: Bacteria; Pseudomonadati; Pseudomonadota; Gammaproteobacteria; Pseudomonadales; Pseudomonadaceae.
UUGCGCAAGUGGCGGGUAUUUCAGCAAUGUUCGCAAUCUUUCACUGCGUCGUCAGGCGUAAGCUUUACCUCAACUUCAAGGCCCGGACGACACGUCCAGCCGCUUCGCCCAAUCAGGUGAGCGGUCGCCGCCGAUCCCACCGGAUCGUCACGGCACCCGGGUUCGCACUGCCCAACCAGGCAGGCGAAGAAAAGGCGUUACCAUCGCCAUAAUGACGGACACAAAAAAGGGGAAGGCCUGCAGGCCUUCCC